AUCUCAAAUCGGGCAGGAACACCCGCUGAACUUAAGCAUAUCAUUAAGCGGAGGAAAAGAAACUAACUAGGAUUCCCUCAGUAGCGGCGAGCGAAGCGGGAAAAGCUCAAGAUGUUGAAUCCGUAAAUGUCAUUUACGGAAAUGUAGUCUGGAGGGGCGCGAACGGGAUAAACCUAAAACGUAAGUUUCCUGGAAUGGAACACCAGAGAGGGUGACAGUCCCGUAUGUAGUGAUAAAGGAGAAAUUCUUUUUACGCGCCCUGGUCGAGUCGGGUUGCUUGGGAGUGCAGCCUAAAUUGGGUGGUAUACUUCAUCCAAAGCUAAAUACGGGCGAGAGACCGAUAGCGAACAAGUACCGUGAGGGAAAGAUGAAAAGAACUUUGGAAAAAGAGUGAAAUAGUGCUUGAAACCGUUGGGAGGAAAGCGAAUGGAGCUUAUAGUGCAGAUCGAGAAGUCUCAAGCCGGCAUUGCGAUUGGUUCCGGCGUAGUGAUCUCGAAUCUACGUUUGCAUUUAUAGUUUCUUUUUUUUGAACGAGAGGUUCACAUAUCGUGCGUUGCUUUUUUUCUUUACUCAGAAAUGAGGAAAAAAAGACAAGCUGUAUGGAU
Molecule: ribosomal RNA, 605 nt
Filed under: Chroomonas cf. mesostigmatica
Lineage: Eukaryota; Cryptophyceae; Pyrenomonadales; Chroomonadaceae
Description: partial Eukaryotic large subunit ribosomal RNA
Rfam family: Eukaryotic large subunit ribosomal RNA
Source: RNAcentral